Silurus meridionalis is the source of this 114-nucleotide small nuclear RNA. RefSeq annotates it as U5 spliceosomal RNA. Lineage: Eukaryota; Metazoa; Chordata; Actinopteri; Siluriformes; Siluridae. The record is from RefSeq and is a predicted model, not a curated record. The transcript has a single exon.
UACUCUGUUUUUCUUCAUAUCGUAUAAAUCUUUCGCCUUUUACUAAAGAUUUCCGUGGGGAAGAACUUUAUGAGCAUUAACCAAUUUUUUGAAGUCCUACUCUAUAGUGGGGCU